Molecule: non-coding RNA, 530 nt
Organism: Pelobates cultripes (western spadefoot toad)
Lineage: Eukaryota; Metazoa; Chordata; Amphibia; Anura; Pelobatidae
Source: the annotation of a GenBank genome assembly
CUUUAAGUUCUGUUUUAAUUUGAUAUGAGGUCAGGAAACCUGUAGCGUUGGGUUGUCAAAUAAGCAUGUGGUGCUGGAUGCCCGUAAGGUACAGUUUUAUAGUAUUGAAGUAUAAUUUAAGGUUGAUGUGAAACCUAAUAUUCAUUCUAAAGCAAACAUGUCAUGGAUGUGAAAUUCAGUGAUAAACUUCUUGAAUAUGUGAAAGGCCCUAUCAUAUGUGUCCUUGGUGUUUACUGAAAGUGCGAGGUGAGAAAUGUGACGUGCGUGAUUUAACAAAGCCUUUAAUCCAUUAUCAUGUCUUGAGAAAGUGGAGUCGCCAGUCUGGAAGCGGUGGGUAGUGUCGAGAAGAAAGCCUGAAAACAAAACCGAGACAAGUGAUCAGCAUAGGUGUUUGUGUACCCUGGAAUGUGGAUACAUCUGAUAAAGAAUUGACAGAUGGCCGCCACCCAAGUGAGUCGUCUUAGGAGUCUCAUGAUUACCAGGGAUGCCUUUAUUGACCAUGUGGCCAUAUUAUCUGAGUAACACUUAAC